UUUUCCGCGGCUCUGGAAACCUCCAAACAAGCUCACAGACUUCGAGGGUCUAAAAAUGGUACUCUGCAGAAAUCAAUGAGAAAAAGACAACAGAAAUAGAUGUUUAUGAAUAUGAGAUGUGUUUUUUUUGGGUAGCCAUCAUUGCCAGAAAAGUAAGGGUAAUUAGGUUUUUUUAAUAAGAAUCUCAGUUUUCUACUCUUUCCAACCCCUCCACUUAGAAAUGGUCAUCGGAGAAAUGGUCACCGGAAGGUGAGUUUAAUACAAAAAUCUAUGAACAAUAAAUAAAAGAAGAAGAAGAAAGAAAGGAGCAAGAAUAUCAAGAAUAAUAGGCCAAGGAGCCCAUUGAUCAACCCCGAACACCACUUCUUUCUCCUCCUUUGGAAACCCUUCUGUAUCCAGAUACUUCUCGAGAAAAGGUUCCUCCCAAUUUUUUAAAAAAACCAGAGUUUUUGAUUGGAAAGGUAAACAGAAAUUAUUGGUCUGACAAAACUCCUCAGAGUUCCGUAUCCUUAUCCAACUCCCCAAGUCCCAAGUCGCAACAACUCAGCCUAGUUAGCUCAUUUGGCUGUGCCUGUCACCACCACAGAGACAGCACAACGAGACAGAGAAAGAGAAACAACUCUCCACUUUCUCUCUGCACUCACUCUCUCCACCCCCCCCCAUCUUUUCUCUUCUCUGAACCAACUUUUCUUUAAGCGGGGUGCCUUGGAGCAGGCGCUCAUGUAGUAAAAGCACUUCGUUCACUGGUACACAUUGAGAUCUAUGGUGGGUGUUUGUGAUUUAACUGUGACUGAACUCCUAUCUAUUGCUUCAUUCUUCAAUGCUUCCUGGGUUUUGGGGAUCAUUGCAGAUAACGUGAAUGUAGAGUAGAAGACUAGGGAGAGAGAGAGAGAGAGAGAUGGGUGUGUGAAUGUGGGUGCAAUUAUAUGUCAGGGUGGUAGACUGGUAGGGUGAGGUCUUCUCAAUUUCAUAUCAGGAGGGUCCACCACACAGAGACACAAAGGGUGGCCUGUGG
RNAcentral lists this long non-coding RNA (1015 nucleotides) under Vitis vinifera (wine grape). RNAcentral's name for it is "long non-coding RNA (VVIN_LNC008077)". The record is from RNAcentral. Lineage: Eukaryota; Viridiplantae; Streptophyta; Magnoliopsida; Vitales; Vitaceae.